AUACGUAGGGGACGAGCGUUGUCCGGAAUGAUUGGGCGUAAAGGGCGCGUAGGCGGCCCGGUAAGUCUGGAGUGAAAGUCCUGUUUUUAAGAUGGGAAUUGCUUUGGAUACUGUCGGGCUUGAGUGCAGGAGAGGUAAGUGGAAUUCCCAGUGUAGCGGUGAAAUGCGUAGAGAUUGGGAGGAACACCAGUGGCGAAGGCGACUUACUGGACUGUAACUGACGCUGAGGCGCGAAAGUGUGGGGAGCAAACAGGAUUAGAUACCCUGGUAGUCCACACUGUAAACGAUGAAUGCUAGGUGUAGGGGGUAUCGACCCCUUCUGUGCCGCAGUCAACACAAUAAGCAUUCCGCCUGGGGAGUACGGCCGCAAGGUUGAAACUCAAAGGAAUUGACGGGG
Molecule: ribosomal RNA, 397 nt
Filed under: uncultured bacterium
Lineage: Bacteria
Description: partial 16S ribosomal RNA
Rfam family: Bacterial small subunit ribosomal RNA
Source: RNAcentral